Molecule: ribosomal RNA, 501 nt
Filed under: uncultured bacterium
Lineage: Bacteria
Description: partial 16S ribosomal RNA
Rfam family: Bacterial small subunit ribosomal RNA
Source: RNAcentral
AUUGAACGCUGGCGGCAGGCUUAACACAUGCAAGUCGAGCGGAGAUGAGGUGCUUGCACCUUAUCUUAGCGGCGGACGGGUGAGUAAUGCUUAGGAAUCUGCCUAUUAGUGGGGGACAACAUUCCGAAAGGAAUGCUAAUACCGCAUACGUCCUACGGGAGAAAGCAGGGGAUCUUCGGACCUUGCGCUAAUAGAUGAGCCUAAGUCGGAUUAGCUAGUUGGUGGGGUAAAGGCCUACCAAGGCGACGAUCUGUAGCGGGUCUGAGAGGAUGAUCCGCCACACUGGGACUGGAACACGGCCCAGACUCCUACGGGAGGCAGCAGUGGGGAAUAUUGGACAAUGGGGGAAACCCUGAUCCAGCCAUGCCGCGUGUGUGAAGAAGGCCUUAUGGUUGUAAAGCACUUUAAGCGAGGAGGAGGCUACUGAGACUAAUACUCUUGGAUAGUGGACGUUACUCGCAGAAUAAGCACCGGCUAACUCUGUGCCAGCAGCCGCCGUAA